CCUACGGGAGGCAGCAGUAGGGAAUUUUCGGCAAUGGGGGGAACCCUGACCGAGCAACGCCGCGUGAACGAAGAAGUUUUUCGUAAUGUAAAGUUCUUUUAACAGGGAAGAAAGAGACAUUUGACGGUACCUGAAGAAUAAGCUCCGGCAAACUACGUGCCAGCAGCCGGGGUAAUAGGUAGGGAGGAAGCGUUAUCCGGAAUUGUGGGUCGAAAGGGGUGCGUAGAUGGCAUAGAAGGUCUUUUGUAAAAAUGCUGGGCUAAACCCAGUAGGGCAAAAGAUACUGCAAAGCUAGAGAAUGACAGAGGCAAGUGGAACGACAGGGGUAGCGGUAAAAUGCGUAGAGAU
This 348-nucleotide ribosomal RNA is filed under the name uncultured bacterium. RNAcentral describes it as "partial 16S ribosomal RNA". It matches the Rfam family "Bacterial small subunit ribosomal RNA", at positions 338 to 697 of the family's 1533-position model. The record is from RNAcentral.